UUAUCAUCCUCUAGUUAACUCAUUUACAUUGCGUCAGUUACCACCUAGCCGCUUCGUUCACCGUGGGACAAAAGGCAACGGAUCCGUAGACGGACAAACCCGACGUUUCACCGUUGCAGCGUCGUCGAGAUCGACGUGGUUCUUCACAAUUACUCACACGCUGUGUGCCGGUUGUCAACUUCUCGUUUGCGGAAAUUCUUUAUCCAAUUGACCGUUAGCAACAAGUUCCGCAAAAUGGAAAUCCGUUGGAGCUUUGUCGAAGUAUCGAAACGUUUGUAAUGUAUCGUUUAAACUGUUCAAGUACCCGUUUUUUUUUGAAUCCAGCAGAACACAAUACGGAGAUAAGCGCUAGAAUCGCUUACGCAAAACCGAUCUUUCGGAGUAUAAUUCAAAAGGGAAGAAGACGGUGAUGGAAAAAAAGGGCAACGCCACGGUCGGGUUUCGGAAAUAAUGAAAUCCUCUAGAUUGGAAGCCAUUAUUCGUUAUAAAUGGAAAACACCCUGUACAGCGGGGUGGUAAGGAGACCCUCUCAGCCGUCAUCGUCUUCACUCCUCUCCUCUCCUCGAGGCUGCGCAGCACCUCCUUUGCGGCCCCGAUGUAAUUUUCUGAAUGACUGCGUAAUUAAAACUCUAAUUUCCUGCACUUAA
This 647-nucleotide long non-coding RNA is filed under the name Neodiprion lecontei (redheaded pine sawfly). RNAcentral's name for it is "uncharacterized LOC124294917, transcript variant X1". The record is from RNAcentral. Lineage: Eukaryota; Metazoa; Arthropoda; Insecta; Hymenoptera; Diprionidae.